AGUGAACGCUGGCGGUAGGCCUAACACAUGCAAGUCGAACGGCAGUACAUUAAGAGCUUGCUCUUACGGUUGGCGAUUGGCGGACGGGUGAGGAAUGCAUCGGAAUCUCCUUUUUCGUGUGGGCUAACGUAGGGAAACUUACUCUAAUACCGCAUCUGACCUACCGUUGAAAUCAGUGGCUCUUCGUACCUUGCUCGAUUGAAUGAGCCGAUGUCGUAUUAGCUAGUUGGCGGGGUAAAGGCCCACCAAGGCGACGAUGCGUAGCUGGUCUGAGAGGAUGAUCAGCCACACUGGAACUGAGACACGGUCCAGACUCCUACGGGAGGCAGCAGUGGGGAAUAUUGGACAAUGGGCGAAAGCCUGAUCCAGCAAUACCGCGUGGGUGAAGAAGGCCUUCGGGUUGUAAAGCCCUUUUGUUGGGAAAGAAAAGCAGCAGGUUAAUACGCCGAUGUUCUGACGGUACCCAAAGAAUAAGCACCGGCUAACUUCGUG
This 492-nucleotide ribosomal RNA is filed under the name uncultured bacterium. Its description in RNAcentral is "partial 16S ribosomal RNA". It matches the Rfam family "Bacterial small subunit ribosomal RNA", at positions 29 to 507 of the family's 1533-position model. The record is from RNAcentral.